ACAUGGCCAAUCGAAAUGUAUUUUUUGAGCUCUUUUAAUAUUUAUGUAUCUUCUUAAAAUGUUUGACAAUAUCUCCGGAACCUCCGAACUAUUUCCACUUGCGCCCAGUAGCAAUGUAUACGAUCCAAUUGUUAUUGAAAAACGUACAGUAUACUGUACUGUAUGUAAGAUUCCCUACACAGCAGUCAGCACCCUGUCCCAAUAUUCACUUUUUGCUUUCCCAAAGUUAUUUGUGCGUGAUCAUGUAUACUUUGCUUACUUGCUGUCACAUCACACAUCUGUAAAAUUACACACAGAAGUGACAGGCAUUUAAGCGAACACAACAUUCCCUACGUCUGUGACAAGUUUGUUUUUGCGCAUAAUGAAAAUCGGAGUCUAGCUACUCAGAUAUAUUUAUUAAUCUUCAGUCUAUAGCUUAAAUGUGCUCCCUUCACCCCCUCCUCAUAGCUGUUGAGGAAUAUUCGCCGUUAUAUUUUCUGCACAUCAAGCCACAAACGGUUUCCUGUUACUCUGCCACAUUUAGCUUCUUUUCAAGAAACAAUCCCAGUUCUCAAAGCAAACUGCAAGGGGUAGGCAGCAAACUGACCAAGGGCAUGUAGAAUUCGAGACGUGGUCUAAUGUAAAUUGGAGAUUUACCGUUAAAUGCAACGUCCUUAAUGCAAAUUUAAAUGCAAGCGAAUUAAUGUCGUCUAGAAAUUGCCAUCUAAAACGUCUUAAUCUGGAAACAGCUUGAUAUUCGUUGCUAGAAUGUUUUUGUAUUAAAUGAACAGACAUCGCUUGUUCAUCUUUUAUUCUCUACAAUUAAAAUAACCUGACGCUUAAAUCAAUGGAAAAGUUAUCGAAAUAGGUAAAUGCUAUUCAAUGAGUAGGAAAGCCUAACGAUGUACGUACUGUGUAGUCUUAGCCUUGAAAGAAAAACAAAUCCCCAAAUUAAAGGUUUGCAUUUAAGAUUACCAGAUAGAAAAAUGUUAAGGAGCACAUAUACAUACAGUAGGGAGUGUAGAAUAGGAGACAUUGUAGCAUGCUUCUAGUGUUUUGAAUAUCAUCGGUAUCACAUUAAGACAGGCGUGUGCAUGUAUUUUUUGCAGUGAGAGAGCGUCUCCACGUCAGAGGACUUGGGGAGGGCAGUUCUGUUUAAAAUGCUGUGAAUGUGACAGCCAGGAGUCCAGACUGCCAAUGUGAGGAAGGUGAUGGGAUAAACCGAGUACAACUGGAAAAAAAUGAGAACAAAAAGAGCAAGCCGACUGUAAAAUAUAGAUAAAAAAUAAAAGUAGGAAACAAAAGAGUGUCCACAGAAGGAAAUAAGUAAGGUUUUUCUAUUCUACAAGUGACUCAGAACAUCUGUGCCACACAUUGAGGACGACGUACAGUAUCCGGAGCAAAACGCAGACGGAUCACAGCGAGGGGAGCUUUACCCUUGGGGGGGAAGAUGACAGUGGUGCCCGGUGAAAAUCUAGACGAGACUGUGGCACUGGCAGCCCUGUCCCACGAUGUCUAUGAUCCCGAGCAAGCGGACCAGGAAUGUUGUGAAAGGGUGGUUAUCAACAUCUCCGGGUUGCGCUUCGAGACCCAGCUUAAAACCCUCGCGCAGUUCCCUAGCACCUUACUGGGCGACCCCAGGAAAAGGAUGCGUUUCUUUGAUCCGCUGAGGAAUGAAUAUUUCUUUGACAGAAAUCGCCCCAGCUUUGAUGCCAUACUUUAUUAUUAUCAGUCGGGAGGGAGGCUUAGAAGACCUGUUAACGUGCCCGUGGACAUUUUCAUGGAGGAGAUAAAAUUUUACGAACUAGGGGAGGAAGUAAUCGAAAAUUUCAAGGAGGACGAAGGUUUCAUCAAGGAGGAAGAACGCCCGUUGCCGAAUAAUGAAUUCCAGCGUCAGGUCUGGCUUCUGUUUGAAUACCCCGAGAGCUCUGGACCAGCUCGAGGGAUUGCAAUAGUCUCUGUUCUCGUCAUUUUAAUAUCAAUUGUUAUUUUCUGCUUAGAGACGUUGCCGGAGUUUAGGGAAGAGAACAGAUUUUACGACCAUCUGGUCUUGAACGGGACUAGCAGCGUCAAACCCAACCCGUUCACUGACCCCUUCUUCAUUGUUGAGACGCUGUGCAUCAUUUGGUUUUCGUUUGAGUUGCUAGUGAGGUUCUUCGCCUGUCCGAGUAAGCCUGCUUUCUUUAAAAAUAUCAUGAACACCAUCGACAUAGUGGCUAUCAUUCCCUACUUCAUCACCCUGGGCAUGGAGCUAGCAGAACAUCAGGGAAAUGGCCAGCAAGCCAUGUCUUUAGCAAUUUUGAGAGUUAUUCGUUUGGUAAGAGUCUUCAGGAUUUUCAAGCUCUCCAGACACUCCAAGGGACUCCAAAUCUUGGGGAAAACCCUCCAAGCAAGUAUGAGAGAACUCGGGUUAUUGAUAUUCUUCCUUUUCAUAGGUGUCAUCUUGUUUUCCAGCGCAGUGUAUUUUGCUGAGACCGACGACCCUUCCUCUGGAUUCAGCAGUAUCCCAGAUGCGUUUUGGUGGGCGGUGGUAUCCAUGACUACUGUGGGCUAUGGAGACAUGUGCCCUGUCACAAUCGGUGGCAAAAUCGUGGGUUCGUUGUGUGCCAUUGCUGGUGUGCUGACAAUUGCGCUACCUGUCCCUGUCAUAGUCUCAAAUUUCAACUAUUUCUACCACAGGGAGACUGAACACGAGGAACAAUUUCAAUACACCCAUGUAACGUGCGGUCAACAGCAGUCCUCCUUCGGUGAACUGAAGAAGAGUGGCAGCAAGUCCUCUCUCAACAAAUCAGACUACCUGGAGACAGAUGAUUUCGAUCCAAUAAAGUAUACAAACUGUAGCCCGACAAAAGCAUACACGGGCAAGCUAUCUGAUGUAUGAUUGUAGCCUGCGCGUAAUUGGACCAGAGAAACAUAACGUUUCUGUGAGUACAUCCCCCCAUUCAGCACUUUUGCUUAAAAAUAUUGGCCGCCUGUUGUUUCGCGCAUCCUUAAUGCAACGAAGUGAGUAUCGAACGUGAGAAUUGAAAUUCAGAGAAAUUUCUAGCAAUGGGUGACAUACACCUGGAUUGUGAGUGGUACGGUUUUUUCUUUCCCUUUUUAAAAUUGUCUUCCGUGUCGUGUCUUCAUCUUGGGCACUGCGUAAAAUAGCGGGCUUCAUUUUCACUUGCUCUUUUAACCUCCUGCCCCGCUUUUCAGCACUUUAUUAGAAGUAAACCUAUCGUUACUACUAACCUUCUGAGAUAUUAUUUGAAAUUGGCAUGUCAGUUAUAUACAGUAUUGUAUAUAUAUAUACACGUACUGUAUGUAUAAUAUACGUACGGUAUAUAGAGAUCAAGGAAAGGACCAACUAAUUCUGAAUUACACAUUGUGCUUACGACCUGCGGGCGGCACAAUUAAUUCUGCACAAGGUCAUUGUGAGAGGUGACCUGCCUCUGUUGUUUUAUUGUAUCCAUCUCCCGCGGUCACGUAUUUUUCCGUGAGCGCCACUCCAAAAGCAUCAUUCAUUUGAUCAGAUACGAGGAAUUAGCCGUGUUAGAUGGAUUCUUGCAGCGAUGCCAUUGUCUUGUAUAGUGGAAACUCUAUCUCUUGUGUGUGUGCCCUUUGAAGACUGCACAGCGCCAUUAAAAAAGCAGCUGUCACUGAAACGUGACGAGCAGCCAAUAAGCAAAUAACUUCUCUUCGCACAACAAAUUAUCCACUAAAUCCUACCCCCUCAGAAUGGAUUUUUCUGCCAAUAACAGUUAUAAGUACUUUGAAAUCAUUUUUUUCUUUGUUAACUGUGACAGCCUUUAAAUAUCUAAUUUGCACAUAGAACGCUUCAUUUUGUUGACAUCAGUCGUCAAGGAAUUUAAUUCCUUCCAUUCCUUUUCUGUCACCAAAAGGCUUAUUUGUAAGUGCCUGGUAUGAUGAAGCAAUCGGGUCGGGUACAUAAAAGGCAGAAAAAGUACGAUUAGUAUUUCACCUUGUAUGCAAGUCAAUACAUUCAAAAUUAGCCAAGGGAACGUUUCCCCUUAUUGUUUUACAUGAAAAUGGAUGCUAAUUUUACCACGCUUUGCAACGCUUAGAGCGCCACAGAGCGGAGGAAUGAAAGUCUUGCAGGCGUCUCUAGAGACUCACGUUUCUAUAGCAACCUUCUAGACUGUUCUCAUAACUUUUUGAUUUUGGCAUCAGAAAGAAAUACAUCGAUUAAUAAUUUCCCUUUCCGCGGAGCCUUCAAAGGUGAUAAAACUUAGUUGAAUUUAUAUAAUUGUUAUAUAUUUUUUUAAGAAUUAUGCAACAUGGGUUAUCUUUUUUUAAAUACAGAAUUUUAUAUUUGUAUACAACAUAGCACUGAAAAUCUACUUAACUGAUGCUAAAUAAAAAGUCGAACGCUGUAGGCUCAUAACCAAGAAUCAUCAUUUUUUUCAUUAUUCCCGUUUUUUCAAAACAAUAUCAUUUCUAACACAUGCAACGGCUUGACGCUAAAGUCAUUUGUUUCUGGUGAAGUUGUAAAAAGGCCAACACAUUACUGAUCUUUGAAUUUUUUAAAGAAGAAAUGCAAACUCCACCAACAACAGAAUUCUUCAAUAAACGAAAAAACGCGAUAUUGUAUCAUUUGACCGUGGAGGGAAAUAUAGACUCAAAUGAUGGCACAAACAAGACUCACAGAAGGAAAAUAAAGCGAAACAAGAAGAUUUCGGUAUUCAAUGAUAUGAACGUUAUAUACCGUAACUGAACUAUUGCCAAAUAGAAAAAAAAAAACAAUUCUGGGGAAUCACUAUUCCUUAAAGCCACACACUUUAUUUUUGAUACAACAAAAGAAAAUCGUCGGAUGUGUCUUGGAGUCUGAAGGACGAGAGAUUCGGAGUCCCGUUGGAUGGAUGCAUUAACUAGUCAGGACAUUGGCAGUUGUCAUACUGUACCUAGAGCGUGCUACAGUACAGAGGCUCAAUUAACCAAUCUGAAACGGAUAUAAGACUUUGUCCAAGCGCUGGAUGAAAAUUAUUUCAUAUUGACCUUCUUGUCCUCCUCCUAAAUGUGGUGAGAGAGGUGAUGUUCAAAGACUACACGAGCAAACCAGUCUGGGAGGGUACAGAAGAGAAGCAAUUUCCUCACUUCCAAAAAUGAAUCCACACUUAAUAUGGAAAACAAAAAAAUUGUUUCACAAGAAAUCACAUGCUCUCUACAAACAAGUCUGAGAUUGUUCUGAUAUGAAAUGAAGAAGAAUAUAAUUUAAAAAGCACAAACCACAAGGAAAUGAAGAUCAACGAUACCUUGGAAAUCCAGUAUCUUCACAAUUACUUCUUGUAUAUACUGUAUAGAAAUUAUUGGAUAUGCUGUGCUUUGAAGGUGCAAAACCACGAGUUACAUGAAGAAACAACACGUGGGACAAAAUAUAAAAAUUGAUCCGUAAAAAAAUGUUAAAUGUGCUAUGUGAAGUCCUGUAUGUAUAAUACUACAUAGCUCUGAAAACUACGUAUACAGUACAGGUAUGUGUUCUUGCUGAUGAGCCUCUUGAUGUACAGUAGUCAAGUCUGUUUAGUCUAAAGAAGUACUUCAUAUGCAAUAGGAAAAAAAACUGAACUAUUAGAAAAACAUUUACAGUAUGUUUUAUACUUUGCAUAUCAUGUGCUAUACCAAAACAUAUAUUACAUGCUUGGAAACCAGGGCAUUCAAAAAGGUAAAAGUUAUACAAUUUGUGUUCUAUGUCAACGGCUCAAAAUUGCUCUGACAUUUUUAUUAUACCUUGUGGGAACAAUUGAUAGCUCAUUGAUAAAUAUCAAAAACACCACUGUUCAACUAGUGAAGUUAUUAAAUCUAUAUUUUUU
Molecule: RNA transcript, 5789 nt
Organism: Lepisosteus oculatus (spotted gar)
Lineage: Eukaryota; Metazoa; Chordata; Actinopteri; Semionotiformes; Lepisosteidae
Gene name: potassium voltage-gated channel subfamily A member 1
Source: RefSeq, a predicted model, not a curated record